UCGGGGUGGAUUAGUGGCGAACGGGUGAGUAACACGUGGGCAAUCUGCCCUUCACUCUGGGACAAGCCCUGGAAACGGGGUCUAAUACCGGAUAACACUCCYMSAGGCAUCUSKGKGGGUUGAAAGCUCCGGCGGUGAAGGAUGAGCCCGCGGCCUAUCAGCUUGUUGGUGAGGUAGAAGCUCACCAAGGCGACGACGGGUAGCCGGCCUGAGAGGGCGACCGGCCACACUGGGACUGAGACACGGCCCAGACUCCUACGGGAGGCAGCAGUGGGGAAUAUUGCACAAUGGGCGAAAGCCUGAUGCAGCGACGCCGCGUGAGGGAUGACGGCCUUCGGGUUGUAAACCUCUUUCAGCAGGGAAGAAGCGAAAGUGACGGUACCUGCAGAAGAAGYKCYKGYUAACUACGUGCCAGCAGCCGCGGUAAUACGUAGGGCGCAAGCGUUGUCCGGAAUUAUUGUGGCGUAAAGACCUCGUACGCGGUCUGUCACGUCGGAUGUGAAAGCCCGGGGCUUAACCCCGGGUCUGCAUUCGAUACGGGCAGACUAGAGUGUGGUAGGGGAGAUCGGAAUUCCUGGUGUAGCGGUGAAAUGCGCAGAUAUCAGGAGGAACACCGGUGGCGAAGGCGGAUCUCUGGGCCAUUACUGACG
RNAcentral lists this ribosomal RNA (650 nucleotides) under Streptomyces phaeochromogenes. RNAcentral describes it as "bacterial SSU rRNA". It matches the Rfam family "Bacterial small subunit ribosomal RNA", at positions 82 to 745 of the family's 1533-position model. Lineage: Bacteria; Bacillati; Actinomycetota; Actinomycetes; Kitasatosporales; Streptomycetaceae. The record is from RNAcentral.